CNGUGAAACWGCAGAUGGCUCAUUAAAUCAGUUAUAAUUUCUAUGAUGGUUGUAGUUUCUCUUUUUUUCUUUCUUGGCUUUUCGGAGCUUUGAAGGUGAGAUGAAAUACUAAAUGGAUAGCCGUACUAAUUGUGGAGCUAAUACAUGCACGAGUGGCUCCUUUUUUUGAGGGGGUUGCUAUUUGAAAAAGUCUCAAUCUCGUUUUGCGAGAGAGGGAUGUGUUUAUUAGACGCGAAACUAUGUUUCUUCGGAAACUACGGUGAAUCACAAUAACCUGAUCGAAUCGCAUGUCCUCAUUGUUAUGGGGAUGGCGAUAGUUCAUUCAAAUUUCUGCUUUAUCAACUUUUGUCGGGUGUAUAGAGGACAUCUGAGGUGAUAACGAAUGGCGGGGAAUCAGGGUUCUUUUCCGGAGAGGGAGCCUGAGAAACGGCUACCACAUCCAAGGAAGGCAGCAGGCGCGCAAAUUACCCAAUCCUAACACAGGGAGGUAGUGACAAGAAAUAUCAAUACCGGGUUCUUUUAGAGCUUGGUAAUUGAAAUGAGUACAAUUUAAACCCCUUAACGAGGAUCAACUGGAGGGCAAGUCUGGUGCCAGCAGCCGCGGUAAUUCCAGCUCCAGUAGCGUAUAUUAAAGUUGUUGCAGUUAAAAAGCUCGUAGUUGGAUUUGUUGCGGCGGUUUUUGGUGGCCUUUGCUUUUGUGUUCUCGGCUUUUUUUUAAGGCUGGGUUGACAGGAGUGGGUCACACGCCGCAAUCCUUGAUGUUUUUGAUUGUUCCUUUAUCGGACUUUCAAGUGACAUCAUCCUUUACUUUGAAAAAAUUGGAGUGAUUCAAGCAGGCGAAAUUAACAUGGCGAAUUUCAAAUUCGUUGAUUUAUUCAUUUUUGCUUCUGCACAUGUUAGCAUGGAAUAAUGCAAGAGGACUUGGGUUUUCUCUUUCAUUGGUUUCAGGAAUCCGAGUAAUGAUUGAUAGGGACAGUUGGGGGUGCUCGUACUCGACGGCCAGAGGUGAAAUUCUUGGAUUCGUUGAAGACGAACAACUGCGAAAGCAUUCACCAAGGAUGUCUUCUUUAAUCAAGAACGAAAGUUGGGGGAUCGAAGAUGAUCAGAUACCGUCGUAGUCCCAACCAUAAACGAUGCCGACCAGGGAUCAGCGAGCGUUGACUUUGCACACUUUGGUUGACCUUUUUUGGUGAACCAGGUGUUGCAAACCUCAUUAAUUUGAAACGACCUCGUUGGCACCUUGCGAGAAAUCACCAGUCUUUGGGCUCCGGGGGGAGUAUGGUCGCAAGGCUGAAACUUAAAGGAAUUGACGGAAGGGCACAACCAGCAGUGGAGCCUGCGGUUUAAAUUGACUCAACACGGGAAAACUUACCAGGUCCAGACAUCAUAAGGAUUGACAGAUUGAAGHUCUUUCUUGAUUYKRUGG
Molecule: ribosomal RNA, 1426 nt
Filed under: Reticulamoeba sp. (lineage 2)
Lineage: Eukaryota; Cercozoa
Description: SSU rRNA
Rfam family: Eukaryotic small subunit ribosomal RNA
Source: RNAcentral